UAACGUCGUCAGAAAUUUCACCCGGUGACGUGCAGGUCAGGCUUCGUUUUGUUCGCCGCGGUAACACGAUGUACUGCACAUUGGGCUGUUGUAAUGGUCAGGGUACGUAGCUGGUUCUGAUAUGUUCAGUGACCUUCGCGGAACGACGCAGUCCUGACCGUGUCAUUUUCAUUUAGGCCUAGGUAUACCAACUUCAGAAUCCGAGGUGAGAUCAGCUUUUGAUUGUGGGUAAAUAACAUCCAUUACCUUCACGUUCUCGCCCACGCAGCAGGCUGAUCCGCAGCCGGUCAUGGCGAGUGCUGGCCCUGGGGAAUUUCAACCGAACAAGACAAGUAAGGACGUUCCCGGACUAAAGGUGCUUUCGGUAGUCCACAUCGUGCUUGGAGUUCUGAGUGUCAUCUUCGGGAUCGUUGCCGUAGCACUUCGCUGCAAUUUUUCAUAUAUUGGAUUCGGAAUUUGGAGUGGGGUUUUGUUUUUCAUCCUGACUGGCGUUCUUGGAUUGUGUACACUGGCUCGAAACAACAGAAGACGCAUGGUUAUUACCUUCCUGGUGAUGUCCAUUGUGUGUGGAGCUGUAGCUUUCCAGUUGAUAAUUGCAUCUGCCGUUGCUGCUGCGAGAGAGUUCCCUCACUUUUGCCAUCCCGACAGCAUACAUCUGGAUUUCGAGUGUGUCAUUCACCCGGAACCCCGUAAAGCCAUAGAUUCUUUGUUGGUGGUAGUCGGGUUCUCUGAAUUGGCCAUCAGCAUUCUGAGUGCAUCUCUGUCCUGCUACGGCGCAUUCAGAUGCUGCCAUUCCUCCUACACUCCGGUUAUGGUGCAGUACGUUGCCCAACCAGAUAAUGUACAGUUUGUACCAAUGACGAUCAUACAACCACAGCAACAGCAAGGAGCGCAGGCGCCUUCUGCAGUGUAAGAAUGCCUGGAGACAGACGGUUUACCACAUAAAAAGAGAGAAUGCAAAUUUCAAUCAUGGGGAAGAAAUAUGUUAGACAAGUUUGUGGUUAAACCAGUUUAGUUCGCCUUUCGGACCCCGGCCAGGGCACGACUGCGUUGCUGAUUAUCAGUCCAGAGUAUUACUCGAUUUGGACAGGCUAUACGUCACAAACCUCGUGUAAUCUGACCAAUCACAAGGCCUGUUCUAGCAGCCCGCAAAGGAUCGUGGGUGUUUCCAUGAUGCAAGGUGCUUUUCUUAACGUAGGAGCAUACAAUGUAUAUGGAACAACAAACACCGACCAAAAAGUUCCGUUUGCAAAAUUUCAUUGGCUAUGCAAGCAUAAAGACCAUCGUUAAAGAUAUCGAUAAGAAAUUUAUCGUUGCCAACUUAAGAUAUAUAACGUUGAAGUUAGACGAAAAUUACUGUAUUUUUCGAUGACUACUAAAACAGUCAGUAGGGGCACGGGGAAGGAUCACUCUAUAUGCCCAUAAUGUGGUAAUACUCCUGACUGAUUAUGGCCUUUCCGUAAAUGACGUAAAGACGAGAGAAGAAAAAAACAUUUUUAAAGUGGCGCAAGAUGGUGACCAGAGAAUCUGGAAGGAAUGGGGGGAACGUGCGAAUGACGAUGUGAGUUCACAAAAUGGCAAGGACGAGGCCGUUCAAGUGGGAAUUAAUGUAUUACGGGUGUGCAUUUAGCGACUAGUCAUAAUGGUCCGGUCUAAGCAUAGGUCGGGCUGGUUCCCACUCCCAUCACGUUUGGAAUUGGAAAGACUAUAGGCAGUGGUUUCGACUGGUCUUACGUCUCCCCUUAGCGGAGGGCAGGGUGACAAGCCCCCCCCCCCCAACAUGUUGCUAUUUGUUAAAGGAAUUGAAGGUGUUUACACCUUCGUUUUAGAAAAAUCCUAUGCCUCCGUUACACCCAAACCUUAAAGUGUAGCCGCAAUAUAUUUUUCUACAAGACACGACUUUUUGGACACUUUGUACUCUUCUUCAAUGUAUGAAAACUCAUUUAUACUCCUAUUUGGUUACAUCCUCGGGAAAAGUGCACUUUUUAAAACACUUUUUAAACACUUACUCAAGUAUUCCUGGACAAAUGAGGACGCUGCCGCUGUGAUGUCAUCUAGCCAAAACAUUGUUCAUUGCAUAGGCUUUUCGUAUUUGUGAACCCAGAAUUUGCUGAAUGAAAACAUUUGUUAGAAAGUGAUUGAUGCUCAUUUGUUAUGCACGUCAACAACAACGAAUCAGCAAAGAAGAGAAAUAAGUCCGGUAAAAUCUACCAUGAUGCAGGACUUUAAGUACAAACCAACGUAACAUAUGAAGGUUUUCUUCCUAGGAUGAGAUCACAGUUUGCUCAUGAAUAUGGAAGUAUCAUUAGCAUAAAAACCAAAAAGGCAGUACGUUUAUAAUAGUGACAAAGAAGUGAGAAUCAGGUUAACUGAGACACAAAGUUGCAUUUUGAAGGUUUGUAUUGGGACAAAUUGAUUGCCGCUUCCCUUUAAAAUCGCCACAGCUCCCCAUGUACGCACCUUGUCCAAAAAUACAGGGAGUGUCUGGCCAAAGGAAAGUCAUUUUCCCAACUUGUUAAUGACAAAGAUUCCUUUUACGCUCAUUAUCCAUAAAGCCCAUGAGCUGGCAUUGUCGAUUGGUCCCGUGAUGAGAUUUCUCUAAUAUGGAGAGUCUUCUCAGGAUGAAGGAAGCGAUCAACUUGUUACUCUUCAGAAAAUUAUCCAUCACUCAUCCAAGGAAACUGUUACUUGUCAUAGAAACUGCCUUGUUUGAAUGUGCGGCUCGAAUAAGCAGUUGUGGCUACUUUUUAAAUAUCCGAUUGAUUCUUUCAGUAUAUAUAGUUACUAAUAACAGGUUGGCAUAAUUUUUCCUCCGGCUAUGCAUGUAUGUAUCGCGGUGAGUAGAGCUAAGAUGCGCUCAAAGUGUAUUUUAUUCAAAUAUUUAAUUCAUAAUUAUCACUGAAAGCAGGAUUACGUUUAGGGGAAGUGAGAAUUAAACACAGACAUGAAACCUACUAUAGGCAUCCGCCUCUAUGAAGGUAGACUCCGAGGAAGGAUUGUGGAAAAUAAACAAUAACGCCACUUUGUUGGCUUUGCUGCAUGAGGUGUUCACAGUACGGAAAUUACCCAUGCAUUGUAUAUAUCUAUGCGUCAAUUGAUCAAUUUGCCCCUAUCAUGAUGAUCCAACAUACGACUUUGACGCAAUUAUUGUCAAUAAAAGAGAAAAACAAACGCAUAUUCAAAUUUCAAAAUUAUCGUCUCAAUGUAAUUAUAAGUCUUUAAACUUUAUUUGAAUUUUGAACUGCUCCAUCUAUAUAUGUAGGCCUGUGCAUGCUUUUUGUUUUAUUUCUCUUCUUAAUUUUUGUUCGCUACAAUAAGAUCACUGUGUAGCCUAGUUCCCUUUAAUUUCCAAAUUACAUUUUGAUUAUAUGUCGCUCGCUGAAUAAUGCAAAUAAAAAUGUACUCUGAAGAAGCAAAAUUA
Molecule: long non-coding RNA, 3421 nt
Filed under: Acanthaster planci (crown-of-thorns starfish)
Lineage: Eukaryota; Metazoa; Echinodermata; Asteroidea; Valvatida; Acanthasteridae
Description: uncharacterized LOC110984623, transcript variant X2
Source: RNAcentral